RNAcentral lists this transfer RNA (69 nucleotides) under Rattus norvegicus (Norway rat). It matches the Rfam family "tRNA". Rfam says of the family: Transfer RNA (tRNA) molecules are approximately 80 nucleotides in length. The record is from Rfam by way of RNAcentral. Lineage: Eukaryota; Metazoa; Chordata; Mammalia; Rodentia; Muridae.
GGAGAGAUGGCUCAGUGGUAAGAGCACUGGCUGCUCUUCCAGAGGUCCUGAGUUCAAUUCCCAGCACCA